UAUUAGCUUUCUUGUUAAAAUUCUUUUUUUUGAUUUCUUGUCUAAUCUCUUAUAUAAUAUGUCUAUGAUAUAUACUACAUUGUUAAUUUGUACUACAAGCUUUUUAAAUAUGCGACACAUAGCUAAUUUUUGGACUAAGUUUGUAACCUAUCAAUCAAUUAUAAAUAUGUAUAAAGUCAAAUAAACAACUAUAAAUCUUUUAAGAAGCUUCACUACAAGAUAAUAUUAAAUCUAUUUAUAUUUAUUUUUUACUUGAUACUUUCUAUCUAGGUAAGUAUAUAUAUUUGUUAUAUCUUCAUCACUAUUCUUUUUGUUUAUAGUUUCUACUUCUUUUGUUUUUAGUCCUUAUUCUAUCUAUUCUCAUGCCUCAUUCUUUUCAUAUUUAUUCUUUUUUCUU
Molecule: long non-coding RNA, 397 nt
Filed under: Physcomitrium patens
Lineage: Eukaryota; Viridiplantae; Streptophyta; Bryopsida; Funariales; Funariaceae
Description: long non-coding RNA (PPAT_LNC003483)
Source: RNAcentral